Long non-coding RNA from Taeniopygia guttata (zebra finch), 3233 nucleotides. RefSeq lists it as uncharacterized. NCBI's taxonomy places the organism in Eukaryota, Metazoa, Chordata, Aves, Passeriformes, Estrildidae. The record is from RefSeq and is a predicted model, not a curated record.
UUAAGAGCACAAGGCCUUGCCUUUCAGCUUUCCACAUUUCCCCAGGCAUAACCUAACAUUCCUCGCCUUUCAGCUGUGCUCAUCUUCUCCUGUCAGGAAGUAAAGAACAAUUAAUACAUAUGGCACAUAAAAAUGUUCACACCAACCCACUCAUUAUUUUUUGUGGCUACAUCUGCAGUGUGCUUAGUGCUUUCUAGACAUCCAAGCUGGAUCUGCCCCAACCAAGAACAUGAAUUGUAACAUAUCAUAAACCUGCUCAUUUUUGUCACACCACCUUUGGUUGGUCAAAGGGACAGUACUAUAGUUUAGCCUAAAAUCUGUUUCUGAGCCAAGUAAAGUUCAGAUUCAGAUCUGGCACUUUAAAUUCUUCCAAUCUCUGCUUCAGAGAUACUCACCAGUUGAGAGAGGAUGAGGAGUUAGGAUAGCAAUUGCUCCCGCUGGCUUUCUGCCAUCUUGAAUUAAAAAUCUUACACCUGGCUGCUCCACUCAGGAGCCCUCUAGACCAGGAGUGAAGAGCACUCUCCCUUUUCACACCAAACACAGCCUGUUCUGUGACCAAGAAGGAAGGUUUCAAACUCCCAUCCUACCUCCUUCCUUAAUUCCAUGUAGAAGAGCUCCUGCCUAAGAGUCCAUACUCUAAAGCUUUGAGCUGUUGUUAAGACAACAGAGCCAUACUGGGAUAAAUCUAAGGCCUCACUCUCUCUGGCUUCCAUUUUGGCCCCUUUUUAGUUCUGGAAUUCAUGGCAAUAUCGUUCUGAACUCAAAGACAUAGUGCAUGUAAUAACUCAUAUCUGUGGCUAUGUAACUGAAGGAAAAGAGACCCAGUCUAUGCAAUCUCAGUUUUGAAAAAAUGUAACCUAGAUAUAUGUUAAUAGUAUAGAUAUAGAUUAUUAUAGAUUAUAUCUAGAUUAUAUACAUUAUUAUAAUCUUUAUACUCUAGAUAUAUUUAAUGGAUUUUAAUAGAUUAUAAAAUUACACUGGACAUUUUUAUGAAAUCAAGUUUCUUUUGUCCCAGUCCUAAAAUAAAAGUUUGAACAGAUCCAGUAUCAAUAUUUUUCCUCUUGAUAAAAAAUGAUAUGUUUUAGAAAGCCAAAAUCUAUAAAAAAUUCACUAAGAUAUUACUUUCCAUGGAGUCAGAAAGUCUCAAGUUGAAACAGUAUUUACUAUCAUAACUGAAUUUUAAAUUAACUUCUUAGGAAAAAGAAGUAUAGAUAGAUGUGGUCUCAACAUGAAAUCAAUAGUUAAAGUAACAAUAGAUUAACAUCCAUUCACCAGAGAGCUGGAAUUGUGUCAAAGGGUUUGGUGACACCAUAAACCACAAAAGCACAAGCCAAUUUUCCUUUCCUAUGGCAAGAUUUUGAAUUUGCAGCUCAGCUGAAGUGUCUUUUGGUGAGCUAACAGAGCAAUAAACAUAGCAAUACAUCACUGUGUGCAUGUUUAGAUACCCACAUAAAAUAAUUUCGGAGAAGUCAGAGGAAUGCAGGUAGGUACUUUCCAAUGAAAUGAAUGAAGGUAACACUCUAAAUCAAAUUGUAAGUAUAUUAAAAUCAUGGUUAUUUUUACAUCAUUCCACUGAGAUAAUUUGUAAUGGUAAUGGUUUCCAGAAUGGGGCCCUGUAUUUUCAAAAUGCAGCAACAGUCCCUAAUUAUCAGACAUAUUUAAAGUCCAUGCAGACUAAAGAAGGUGAAGGUCACAUAUUAUGUUCAAAAUUUAGUGAUUGGGAAAUGAAUCCUUUGAAGAGGCAGAAAUGAUUCUGUGGGAGGCAAGUAUUGCCCUUCUGCUGCUCAGUGAAACCUUUCCAUUCCUAAUUAUUCCAUGUUGAGUAAUAUGUUACAAAAAGGGGAAACUAUUAUGUAUGUGCAGAUCCAAUUAAUUUCUUAAGAAAGUGGUCUGUCUCAUCUCCAAACAAAUGUUUUCUAAGGAAAGGAGAAGUAAGGUAAAUCGGAAAAUUCCUCUAUUAUGAACAAAUAGCCAUUGAAGUUUACAGUUCAGAAUCACUCUGGUACCCAACAUACUGCGGUAUUGACUUAUAUCUCCUUGGCUGAUGGAGAUAACCAUUCACAGGAAGACUUUGUUUUGCUUUUUGGAACUGAAGAGCUGUCAUUACGACAAAACAGCCACAAUGCUGUGCUGCUUGGGCAGAGCUAAUGGCCUGUCUGUAAUCAAGUUAUUCUGCUCAGCAAAGAGAGACACAAACACGUAUUUUGAAAGAGCAAAUGCUCACAGUAUUUACCACACUUCCAGCUGUCCUACACUCCAUGGGUCUUCCAGUCUCUGGUGAACCUGGGGUUUCAUUUGAUGCCUGCAGUGUAUUCUGUCAUAGACCUGCAUGUCUAUGUACAGCGUGCACAGGUUCCUCAGUAAGGAGUUCUUUCCUUCUGCAUCCUCACAGUCCUGUUCUAACUUAAUCCAAGUCCUAAAGAGAAAAUAGACAAAAGAAAGAGAGGAAAAAUUCAAAAAGGGAGCUCCUGGUAAGCAUAUGUCAGACAUAUUCCUUUGUAUCUCCUGUAGUGAAUCAGGUACCCAGCCCUUACGUAUAAAGAGCACUCUUUAUACUCUUCAUAAACAAGCAUCUUUCCCACAGGGCUCCACUAAGGCUCAGGUUGGAUUUCACCUCAUCCAUUCAAAUUUCUCUUCUGUUUUUCUUAUUACUAUAGCCUGCACAAUGGAAGAAGAUCAUGUACAGGAGUGAGAGUGCCACUGAAGGGAAGAGCUACUGGAGGUGUGACAAACUCAUCUCUAUUUCAAGGAAAUGGUGAAAUAAGAGCUCUGAGACAACUGAGAGACUUUAAGAGAUUGAGACUACAAGAAAACAAGGUAACUUCCUCCAACAAAAAGCAUCACAAUGUGGCUUUUCAGAAAGAAAAUUUCCAGCUUGAAGAUGUUCCAAAGCACAUUUUCUCCCAAGAGUGCUUGCUAAAGGAAAGAAAAUACAAAAGGAAGAAUAUUGCAAAAGAGAAGAAAAUCCACCUAACUCAAACCACAGCCAUUUUCUUGCCUGAUAAGUCCAAAGCCAGGUGGUUAGAAUAAAAGAUUGGUGUUUAUCUGUUAGAAGAUCUGGGGCUGAUUCAUUCUAUUUACUGCAGCAAGCUCACCUGUGAGGCUUUAUGCCUUGGGGAAAAAAAAGCUCAGCAGGGGUUAACUUCUUGUUGUGGGGGAAGAAAGGAGAGGUGAGAUUUGAGUUUUAAUUGAUGCAAGGGGAAAUCCCCUCUCUUUUAUAUACCUGGUUCAGA